Jaapia argillacea is the source of this 103-nucleotide transfer RNA. It matches the Rfam family "tRNA". Rfam says of the family: Transfer RNA (tRNA) molecules are approximately 80 nucleotides in length. Their secondary structure includes four short double-helical elements and three loops (D, anti-codon, and T loops). Further hydrogen bonds mediate the characteristic L-shaped molecular structure. tRNAs have two regions of fundamental functional importance: the anti-codon, which is responsible for specific mRNA codon recognition, and the 3' end, to which the tRNAs corresponding amino acid is attached (by aminoacyl-tRNA synthetases). tRNAs cope with the degeneracy of the genetic code in two manners: having more than one tRNA (with a specific anti-codon) for a particular amino acid; and 'wobble' base-pairing, i.e. permitting non-standard base-pairing at the 3rd anti-codon position. Lineage: Eukaryota; Fungi; Basidiomycota; Agaricomycetes; Jaapiales; Jaapiaceae. The record is from Rfam.
GUCCCUGUCGAUUAGUGGUUAAAUCAUCACGUUGUGGUGUCGUCUAUGACAGACUUCCAACUUGCAAUCCGUGAAGCCGGAGGUUCGAAUCCUCCUUGGGACA